Molecule: long non-coding RNA, 629 nt
Filed under: Vigna radiata
Lineage: Eukaryota; Viridiplantae; Streptophyta; Magnoliopsida; Fabales; Fabaceae
Description: long non-coding RNA (VRAD_LNC005852)
Source: RNAcentral
UUUUUUUAAAAAUGACAUAUUACCUUGAUUCUACAUAAAAGCAAGGUAAUAUGUCUUGUCCAUCACCUGACAGUUCUGAUGUUAAAAGGGUUUUAGGUAUCGGUUGCAUUAAGAACAAAGACAGUAAUGGUCUAUUGCCUCGGUUAAGUAAAGAACUGAGGCAAUAUCUUUCGUCGAUAUUUAACUUCUCAGAAACGUAAAACAUUUUAGCCUAUUGUUCCUUCUUCUUCCUUGCACGAGAAUCCUUGUUUCCUUCUUCUUCCUCGCACAACAAUUCUCUCUCUUAGGCAAAACUGUUGGUUCGUGACCUCCAUUUCUCUCGCGUGAAGUGCUUGUUGUAGUUCCCAUAUUCGUUGGCUCCAUUUCUGUCGUGUGAACGUUGUUGCCUCCAUUUCUCUCGCGCGAAUUGCGUUAUUCGUUGCCGUCAUCGGCCGUUCGUCGCAGCCACUAGUUGUUCGUCGCUGCCUGCGACCAUUCGUCGCCAUCAUCGGCCAUUUGAAGUUGCCUCCGACCGUUUGCAAAGCCAUAGUAUGUUUCUCCUUAUUGUUUGAUUUAAUAUAAAGUAUGGAAACAUUGCACUAGCAUUUUCAUUUCAUUACAUUCUAUUAUGUUAAUGUGAUGAAUUCUAU